AUUUAUAUAGUUUAAAAAAAACAAUACAUUUUCAUUGUAUAGUUAGAUUAUAUCUUAUAAAUA
This 63-nucleotide transfer RNA is filed under the name Curculionidae sp. KM-2017. Its description in RNAcentral is "tRNA-Glu". The record is from RNAcentral. Lineage: Eukaryota; Metazoa; Arthropoda; Insecta; Coleoptera; Curculionidae.